Molecule: unclassified non-coding RNA, 148 nt
Organism: Callithrix jacchus (white-tufted-ear marmoset)
Lineage: Eukaryota; Metazoa; Chordata; Mammalia; Primates; Cebidae
Rfam family: Metazoan signal recognition particle RNA
About the family: The signal recognition particle (SRP) is a universally conserved ribonucleoprotein. It is involved in the co-translational targeting of proteins to membranes.
Source: Ensembl
GCUGGGCCUGGUGGUGCAGGCCUGUAAUCCCAGCUACCCAGGAGGCUGAGGCAGGAGAAUCACUUGAACUCAGGAGGCAGAGGCUGUAGUGAGCUAAAAUCAAGCCACUGCACUCCAGCCUGGGUGACAGAGUGAGAUUCCAUCUCAG